Molecule: ribosomal RNA, 200 nt
Filed under: uncultured bacterium
Lineage: Bacteria
Description: partial 16S ribosomal RNA
Rfam family: Bacterial small subunit ribosomal RNA
Source: RNAcentral
AGAGUUUGAUCCUGGCUCAGGAUGAACGCUAGCGGCAGGCUUAAUACAUGCAAGUCGAGGGGCAGCACAGGUAGCAAUACUGGGUGGCGACCGGCAAACGGGUGCGGAACACGUACGCAACCUUCCUUUAAGUGUGGGAUAGCCCAGGGAAACUUGGAUUAAUACCACGUAAUAUAGUUGGAUGGCAUCAUUUGACUAUU